UUUCCGUAGGUGAACCUGCGGAAGGAUCAUUAUUGUAUAACCGAGGUGCGAGGGCUGUCGCUGACCCGAAACGUCGUGCACGCCCGAGUGCCCUCACACACAUCCAUCUCACCCCUAUGUGCACCACCGCGUGGGUCCCCCUUUGGCUUGUUCGGAGGGGGGCUUACGUUUUCACACAAACUUUGUAUGCAGUGUAGAAUGUAUUUUUUGUUUUUGCGAUCACGCAAUCAAUACAACUUUCAACAACGGAUCUCUUGGCUCUC
This 263-nucleotide unclassified non-coding RNA is filed under the name plant metagenome. RNAcentral describes it as "partial contains small subunit ribosomal RNA, internal transcribed spacer 1, and 5.8S ribosomal RNA". The record is from RNAcentral.